RNAcentral lists this ribosomal RNA (253 nucleotides) under uncultured bacterium. Its description in RNAcentral is "partial 16S ribosomal RNA". It matches the Rfam family "Bacterial small subunit ribosomal RNA", at positions 524 to 776 of the family's 1533-position model. The record is from RNAcentral.
UACGUAGGGUGCAAGCGUUAAUCGGAAUUACUGGGCGUAAAGCGUGCGCAGGCGGUUAUGCAAGACAGAUGUGAAAUCCCCGGGCUCAACCUGGGAAUGGCGAUGGAUACUGGCUCGCUAGAGUGCGGUAGAGGAGAGUGGAAUUCCCGGUGUAGCAGUGAAAUGCGUAGAGAUCGGGAGGAACAUCAGUUGCGAAGGCGGCUCUCUGGACCAGCACUGACACUGAGGCACGAAAGCGUGGGGAGCAAACAGG